ACACCCGUUCCCAUACCGAACACGGUAGUUAAGCUCUCUACCGCCGAUGGUA
This 52-nucleotide ribosomal RNA is filed under the name uncultured Acidobacteriales bacterium HF0200_23L05. The record is from RNAcentral. Lineage: Bacteria; Pseudomonadati; Acidobacteriota; Terriglobia; Terriglobales.